Molecule: ribosomal RNA, 1101 nt
Filed under: Triticum aestivum (bread wheat)
Lineage: Eukaryota; Viridiplantae; Streptophyta; Magnoliopsida; Poales; Poaceae
Description: partial small subunit ribosomal RNA
Source: RNAcentral
AUGGGUGUUUUUGAUUCUGAAACUAAUGAGAAUUGGACCUGGUUCAUGCAAAUGGUUAGACAAGCCAUAGGAUCCCCAAGGGGUUUAACCAUAUGCAUCGAUGCUGGGCAACCAGUGAUGACAGGUGUAAAAGAAGUGUUCCUAGAGGCUGAACAUAGGGAAUGUAUGUUUCACUUGGUGUCCAACUUCAAGAAGAAGUUUCAUGGGAAGGUGUUUGAUGACCACCUUUGGGCUGCUGCUUACUCAUGGAACCCAUAUAUAUUUGAAAAAAAUUGGGCUGCAAUGGACAUAGCAAAGCCAGCGGCAACUGCAUAUCUUAGGAGGUGGCACACUAGGUUGUGGUCUAGGAGUCAGUUCUCAACAAUUCCCAAGGUGGAUUAUGUUACAAACAACUUGGCUGAGUGCUUCAAUAAUUGGAUUAAGCAUCACAAGUCGUUGAACUUGGACGACUUCUUUGAUAAGGUUAGGCAGAUGAUUAUGAUCAUGUGGAACCGAAGGAGGAAAGUAGCAAGGAAGUUGGUUGGGUUGAUUCUUCCCCACAUAAUUAAGAAGUUGAAUGCAAAGACUAGAGAAUUAAACUUGGAGGUGGUAGAAAGCUUAGAAGAAGUCGCUGAAGUGACAGCAUUGGGAGGCAGCGGCUUUAGGUUUGUGGUCAACUUGCUUGACAGGACAUGUUCUUGUAGACAAUGGCAAGUUUCUAGCAUUCCUUGCAAGCAUGGUCUAGCAUUUAUCACAUCUCUUAUCAAUGCACACAUACAAAAUUAUGUGGACUUGUAUUACUCCAUUGACAAAUUUAGGGCAGCCUAUGACCAACUAAUUCCUGCCAUGGUUGACAAGAACCAAUGGCCUAAAUCUGACCAAGGAUUCUUCAUGUUUCCACCACUACUAAAAUCCACGGCGGGUAGGCAUAAAACUGAGAGGUAUAAAGGCUGCAGUGAGAAGAAAAGAAAAAGUGGCCAACACGUAUGCCCUAUUUGUAAGGACUAUGGGCAUCAUUGGCAUAAAUGCAAGAAGGGUAACCCAGAUGACAUUGCUGCUAUUUUAGCUGUGAGGAUGAUUAGGCAGCCACCUCAGCAACCUCGCUUAUGUGUCACUGUCUAG